This 464-nucleotide ribosomal RNA is filed under the name Rothia dentocariosa. Its description in RNAcentral is "bacterial SSU rRNA". It matches the Rfam family "Bacterial small subunit ribosomal RNA", at positions 28 to 500 of the family's 1533-position model. Lineage: Bacteria; Bacillati; Actinomycetota; Actinomycetes; Micrococcales; Micrococcaceae. The record is from RNAcentral.
GACGAACGCUGGCGGCGUGCUUAACACAUGCAAGUCGAACGAUGAAGCCUAGCUUGCUAGGUGGAUUAGUGGCGAACGGGUGAGUAAUACGUGAGUGACCUACCUUUGACUCUGGGAUAAGCCUGGGAAACUGGGUCUAAUACCGGAUACGACCAAUCUCCGCAUGGGGUGUUGGUGGAAAGCGUUAUGGAGUGGUUUUAGAUGGGCUCACGGCCUAUCAGCUUGUUGGUGAGGUAAUGGCUUACCAAGGCGACGACGGGUAGCCGGCCUGAGAGGGUGACCGGCCACACUGGGACUGAGACACGGCCCAGACUCCUACGGGAGGCAGCAGUGGGGAAUAUUGCACAAUGGGCGCAAGCCUGAUGCAGCGACGCCGCGUGAGGGAUGACGGCCUUCGGGUUGUAAACCUCUGUUAGCAUCGAAGAAGCGAAAGUGACGGUAGGUGCAGAGAAAGCGCCGGCUAA